GGAUUAGGCAUGCAAGUCGAACGAGAAAGGUUCCUUUCGGGGACCGAGUAGAGUGGCGAAAGGGUGAGUAAUGCACAGGCAACUUACCCCCGAGAUGGGAAUAACCUCUCGAAAGGGGGGCUAAUGCCCAAUGGUACCGUGGAUCGCAUGUUCUACGGUUAAAGAUAGCUUCGGCCUUCGCUCGGGGAGAGGCCUAUGUCCUAUUAGCUUGUUGGUGGGGUAACGGCCCACCAAGGCGACGAUGGGUAGCCGACCUGAGAGGGUGACCGGCCACACUGGGACUGAGACACUGCCCAGACUCCUACGGGAGGCUGCAGUCGAGAAUCUUCCGCAAUGCGCGCAAGCGUGACGGAGCGACGCCGCGUGAGGGAUGAAGGCCUUCGGGUUGUAAACCUCUGUCGCCUGGAAAGAAAACUGUGCGGUUAAUAGCUGUCGCAGUUGACGUUACCAGGAGAGGAAGCACCGGCUAAAUACGUGCCAGCAGCCGCGGUAAUACGUAUGGUGCAAACGUUGUUCGGAAUCACUGGGCUUAAAGAGCACGUAGGCGGUUGAGAAAGUCUGAUGUGAAAUCCCUCGGCUUAACCGAGGAAUUGCAUUGGAAACUUCUCGGCUAGAGUACAGGAGGGGAGAGUGGAAUUCCUGGUGGAGCGGUGAAAUGCGUAGAUAUCAGGAGGAACGCCGGAGGCGAAAGCGACUCUCUGGCCUGUUACUGACGCUGAGGUGCGAAAGCUAGGGGAGCGAACGGGAUUAGAUACCCCGGUAGUCCUAGCCCUAAACGAUGGGCACUAAGUAGAGGGGUUUU
This 802-nucleotide ribosomal RNA is filed under the name uncultured Planctomycetota bacterium. RNAcentral's name for it is "bacterial SSU rRNA". It matches the Rfam family "Bacterial small subunit ribosomal RNA", at positions 46 to 832 of the family's 1533-position model. The record is from RNAcentral. Lineage: Bacteria; Pseudomonadati; Planctomycetota.